RNAcentral lists this ribosomal RNA (477 nucleotides) under uncultured bacterium. RNAcentral's name for it is "bacterial SSU rRNA". It matches the Rfam family "Bacterial small subunit ribosomal RNA", at positions 53 to 518 of the family's 1533-position model. The record is from RNAcentral.
ACAUGCAAGUCGAACGGAGUAUCUCUCCGAGGAUGACGAAGCUUGCUCUGAUUGACUCAUUGAGAUACUUAGUGGCGGACGGGUGAGUAACGCGUGGGUAACCUGCCUCACACAGGGGGAUAACAGUUGGAAACGACUGUUAAUACCGCAUAAGCGCACAGCUUCGCAUGAAGCAGUGUGAAAAACUCCGGUGGUGUGAGAUGGACCCGCGUCUGAUUAGCUAGUUGGUGAGGUAACGGCCCACCAAGGCAACGAUCAGUAGCCGGCCUGAGAGGGUGUACGGCCACAUUGGGACUGAGACACGGCCCAAACUCCUACGGGAGGCAGCAGUGGGGAAUAUUGGACAAUGGGGGAAACCCUGAUCCAGCGACGCCCGCGUGAGUGAUGAAGUAUCUCGGUAUGUAAAGCUCUAUCAGCAGGGAAGAAAUUGACGGUACCUGACUAAGAAGCACCGGCUAAAUACGUGCCAGCAGCCGC